AUUGAACGCUGGCGGCAGGCCUAACACAUGCAAGCCGGGCGAGCGGCGGACUGGUGAGUAAUGUCUGGGGAUCUGCCUGAUGGAGGGGGAUAACUACUGGAAACGGUAGCUAAUACCGCGUACCAUCAGAUUCACCCACAUGUGAUUAGCUUGUAGGUAGGGUAACGGCUCACCAGGGCGACGAUCCCUACCUGGGCUGCGAGGAUGAUCAGCCACACUGGGACUGAGACACGGCCCAGACUCCUACGGGAGGCAGCAGUGGGGAAUAUUGAACAAUGGGCGCAAGCCUGAUGCAGCCAGGCCGCGUGUAUGAAGAAGGCCUUCGGGUUGUAAAGUACUUUCAGGCGGGAGGCGUUACCGACAGAAGAAGCACCGGCUAACUCCGUGCCAGCAGCCGCGGUAAUAC
Molecule: ribosomal RNA, 406 nt
Filed under: uncultured bacterium
Lineage: Bacteria
Description: partial 16S ribosomal RNA
Rfam family: Bacterial small subunit ribosomal RNA
Source: RNAcentral